GACGUAGGAUGCGAGCGUUGUCCGGAUUUAUUGGGCGUAAAGAGUUCGUAGGUGGUUUGUUAAGUCUGAUGUUAAAGAUUGGGGCUCAACCCUGAAACUGCAUUGGAUACUGGCAGACUUGAGUGUGGUAGAGGCUAGUGGAAUUCCCAGUGUAGCGGUGAAAUGCGUAGAUAUUGGGAAGAACACCGGUGGCGUAGGCGACUAGCUAGGCCAUAACUGACACUGAGGAACGAAAGCCAGGGUAGCGAAUGGG
RNAcentral lists this ribosomal RNA (253 nucleotides) under uncultured bacterium. RNAcentral describes it as "partial 16S ribosomal RNA". It matches the Rfam family "Bacterial small subunit ribosomal RNA", at positions 524 to 776 of the family's 1533-position model. The record is from RNAcentral.